UCCCUGGUAGUAUAUCGGUUAGUACACGCGCCUGUCAUCUGUGACGUCAUUUACGCGCGAAAGCUGGGUUCGACUCCCAGCCAGGGAG
This is a non-coding RNA of Rhodocollybia butyracea, 88 nucleotides long. NCBI's taxonomy places the organism in Eukaryota, Fungi, Basidiomycota, Agaricomycetes, Agaricales, Omphalotaceae. The record is from the annotation of a GenBank genome assembly.